AUGCAAGUCGAGCGGACAUUUAGGAGCUUGCUCCUAAAUGUUAGCGGCGGACGGGUGAGUAACACGUGGGCAACCUGCCCUGUAGACUGGGAUAACAUCGAGAAAUCGGUGCUAAUACCGGAUAAUCUUGAGGAUCACAUGAUCCUCUUGUAAAAGAUGGCUCCGGCUAUCACUACGGGAUGGGCCCGCGGCGCAUUAGCUAGUUGGUAAGGUAACGGCUUACCAAGGCGACGAUGCGUAGCCGACCUGAGAGGGUGAUCGGCCACACUGGGACUGAGACACGGCCCAGACUCCUACGGGAGGCAGCAGUAGGGAAUCUUCCGCAAUGGACGAAAGUCUGACGGAGCAACGCCGCGUGAGUGAUGAAGGGUUUCGGCUCGUAAAGCUCUGUUGUUAGGGAAGAACAAGUGUCGUUCAAAUAGGGCGGCACCUUGACGGUACCUAACCAGAAAGCCACGGCUAACUACGUGCCAGCAGCCGCGGUAAUACGUAGGUGGCAAGCGUUGUCCGGAAUUAUUGGGCGUAAAGCGCGCGCAGGCGGUCUUUUAAGUCUGAUGUGAAAUCUCGGGGCUCAACCCCGAGCGGUCAUUGGAAACUGGGAGACUUGAGUA
Molecule: ribosomal RNA, 611 nt
Filed under: Alkalihalobacillus alcalophilus
Lineage: Bacteria; Bacillati; Bacillota; Bacilli; Caryophanales; Bacillaceae
Description: bacterial SSU rRNA
Rfam family: Bacterial small subunit ribosomal RNA
Source: RNAcentral